RNAcentral lists this ribosomal RNA (427 nucleotides) under uncultured bacterium. RNAcentral's name for it is "partial 16S ribosomal RNA". It matches the Rfam family "Bacterial small subunit ribosomal RNA", at positions 355 to 774 of the family's 1533-position model. The record is from RNAcentral.
UGGGGAAUAUUGGACAAUGGGCGAAAGCCUGAUCCAGCCAUGCCGCGUGUGUGAAGAAGGUCUUCGGAUUGUAAAGCACUUUAAGUUGGAAGGAAGGGCAUUAACCUAAUACGUUAGUGUUUUGACGUUACCGACAGAAUAAGCACCGGCUAACUCUGUGCCAGCAGCCGCGGUAAUACAGAGGGUGCAAGCGUUAAUCGGAAUUACUGGGCGUAAAGCGCGCGUAGGUGGUUUGUUAAGUUGGAUGUGAAAUCCCCGGGCUCAACCUGGGAACUGCAUUCAAAACUGACGAGCUAGAGUAUGGUAGAGGGUGGUGGAAUUUCCUGUGUAGCGGUGAAAUGCGUAGAUAUAGGAAGGAACACCAGUGGCGAAGGCGACCACCUGGACUGAUACUGACACUGAGGUGCGAAAGCGUGGGGAGCAAACA